GACGAACGCUGGCGGCGUGCUUAACACAUGCAAGUCGAACGGUGAACGAGGGAGCUUGCUCCCUCCGGAUCAGUGGCGAACGGGUGAGUAACACGUGAGCAAUCUGCCCCGAACUCUGGGAUAAGCGUUGGAAACGACGUCUAAUACCGGAUACGACGCGGGAGGGCAUCCUCUCCGCGUGGAAAGAACUUCGGUUCGGGAUGAGCUCGCGGCCUAUCAGCUUGUUGGUGAGGUAACGGCUCACCAAGGCGACGACGGGUAGCCGGCCUGAGAGGGUGACCGGCCACACUGGGACUGAGACACGGCCCAGACUCCUACGGGAGGCAGCAGUGGGGAAUAUUGCACAAUGGGCGCAAGCCUGAUGCCGCAACGCCGCGUGAGGGACGACGGCCUUCGGGUUGUAAACCUCUUUUAGCAGGGAAGAAGCGAAAGUGACGGUACCUGCAGAAAAAGCACCGGCUAACUACGUG
This 470-nucleotide ribosomal RNA is filed under the name uncultured bacterium. Its description in RNAcentral is "partial 16S ribosomal RNA". It matches the Rfam family "Bacterial small subunit ribosomal RNA", at positions 28 to 507 of the family's 1533-position model. The record is from RNAcentral.